Molecule: ribosomal RNA, 309 nt
Filed under: uncultured Chlorobiota bacterium
Lineage: Bacteria; Pseudomonadati; Chlorobiota
Description: bacterial SSU rRNA
Rfam family: Bacterial small subunit ribosomal RNA
Source: RNAcentral
GACGAACGCUGGCGGCGUGCCUAACACAUGCAAGUCAAGGAGAAGGAUUCCUUCGGGAGUCCGGAAACUGGCGCACGGGUGAGUAACGCGUAGGUAAUCUGCCCUAAUCCGGGACAUAACGUCGGGAAACCGGCGCUAAUAUCCCAUGAGGUACUUCGGUAUCAAAGCUUCGGCGGUUUAGGAUGAGCCUGCGUCUGAUUAGCUUGUUGGUGAGGUAAUGGCUCACCAAGGCUGCGAUCAGUAGCUGGUCUGAGAGGACGAUCAGCCACACUGGAACUGAGACACGGUCCAGACUCCUACGGGAGGCAG